AUCCAAAGUUUUAUUUUGGCUUAAAAAUUUGUUGUUAAUUUAGUUUAUAUGUAAAUUUUUGUGUGAGUAUACAUUAAUUUAAAUAGUUGAUGUUGUAUAUUUUAUUCGCAGUAAUUAGUAUUAUUGGUUUGAGGAAGCUCAGAAAUAGUAAUAUUAGGUAGUAUUGGCUAAUUUUGUGCCAGCAGCCGCGGUUAUACGAACGAUACAAGUAAAUUUUGUUAGUUUGAGUUAAAUUGGUUAAUUGAAAAUUAAAUUAAACUUGUUAGGUGAAAUUUUAAGUUUAUGAAAUUUUUUAUUGGGUUGGUUGAAGCUUGGAAAUUUUGAUUGUAAACUAGGAUUAGAUACCCUAUUAUUUGAAAUGUAGAUUAUUAAACUUAGGUAGUAGUAGAUAUGUUCUUGAAACUUAAAAAAUUUGGCGGUAUUUUAGUCUAUUCAGAGGAACCUGUCCUGUAAUCGAUAAUCCACGUUGGACCUAACUUGAGUUUGUUAGACAGCUUAUAUACCGUCGUUAUAAGAAAAUUUUAUGAGAAUGAUUAUUUUCGGGAGUUUGAAUUAAAAAGUAUAUCAGAUCAAGGUGUAGCUUAUGCUUAAGUAGAGAUGGGUUACAAUAAAUUUAUUUAAACGGAUUUAUGAGUUGAAAGUUUUUAUUGAAGGUGGAUUUGGUAGUAAAGUUGUAUAGAUAAAUAAUUUGACUUUAGCUCUAAAAUAUGCACACAUCGCCCGUCGCUCUUAUUAUUAAGAUAAGAUAAGUCGUAACAUAGUAGAUGUACUGGAAAGUGUAUCUAGAAUG
This 790-nucleotide non-coding RNA is filed under the name Gasterophilus nasalis. The record is from RNAcentral. Lineage: Eukaryota; Metazoa; Arthropoda; Insecta; Diptera; Oestridae.